CCCCUUUUAAAAGCACUCAUUGGGCCUUUUGCCAGUGACCCACUGAGCCGUUAAAAAGGGCAGAUUAAAAAACACCACUUUUGGGUGAAGCGGCAACAUCCGGUGUUGUUCAGCUUCAAUCGGUGAUGUGACAAAA
RNAcentral lists this small nucleolar RNA (136 nucleotides) under Echinops telfairi (small Madagascar hedgehog). Lineage: Eukaryota; Metazoa; Chordata; Mammalia; Afrosoricida; Tenrecidae. The record is from RNAcentral.